AGUUGUUUCUUUAAUUUUUUAUUUGUGCACAGCAGAAAAAUAAAUGUACAGCUAAGGUCAUUUCUAUGCUGCAGCAGUUCACCCGAAACCUCUUCAGUUACAAAGUAGUUUUAUAGAAGUACA
Molecule: long non-coding RNA, 123 nt
Organism: Etheostoma cragini (Arkansas darter)
Lineage: Eukaryota; Metazoa; Chordata; Actinopteri; Perciformes; Percidae
Exons: 3
Source: RefSeq, a predicted model, not a curated record